Molecule: small nucleolar RNA, 107 nt
Filed under: Macleaya cordata
Lineage: Eukaryota; Viridiplantae; Streptophyta; Magnoliopsida; Ranunculales; Papaveraceae
Description: Plant small nucleolar RNA R71
Rfam family: Plant small nucleolar RNA R71
About the family: R71 is a member of the C/D box family of snoRNAs containing the C (UGAUGA) and D (CUGA) box motifs. Multiple nearly identical copies of this snoRNA have been identified in Arabidopsis, and it is thought to function as a 2'-O-ribose methylation guide for 18S ribosomal RNA.
Source: Rfam by way of RNAcentral
UAGCCAUGAUGUGGGCAGGAUAGUUGGAGUUCUUUAAAUCUUUCCCAACACUGAAAAAAAGUUUCAUUUUCUUUUUGUGAAAAAUUCACGAUAUUUCUUCUGAGGGU